Molecule: ribosomal RNA, 237 nt
Filed under: uncultured bacterium
Lineage: Bacteria
Description: partial 16S ribosomal RNA
Rfam family: Bacterial small subunit ribosomal RNA
Source: RNAcentral
GAUCCUGGCUCAGGGUGAACGCUAGCGGCAGGCUUAACACAUGCAAGUCGAGGGGCAGCAUAAUGGAUAGCAAUAUCUAUGGUGGCGACCGGCGCACGGGUGCGUAACGCGUAUGCAACCUACCUUUAACAGGGGGGAUAACACUGAGAAAUUGGUACUAAUACCCCAUAAUAUCAUAGAAGGCAUCUUUUAUGGUUGAAAAUUCCGAUGGUUAGAGAUGGGCAUGCGUUGUAUUAG